AUUGAACGCUGGCGGCAGGCCUAACACAUGCAAGUCGAGCGGAUGAAGGGAGCUUGCUCCUGGAUUCAGCGGCGGACGGGUGAGUAAUGCCUAGGAAUCUGCCUGGUAGUGGGGGAUAACGUCCGGAAACGGGCGCUAAUACCGCAUACGUCCUGAGGGGGAAAGUGGGGGAUCUUCGGACCUCACGCUAUCAGAUGAGCCUAGGUCGGAUUAGCUAGUUGGUGGGGUAAAGGCCUACCAAGGCGACGAUCCGUAACCGGUCUGAGAGGAUGAUCAGUCACACUGGAACUGAGACACGGUCCAGACUCCUACGGGAGGCAGCAGUGGGGAAUAUUGGACAAUGGGCGAAAGCCUGAUCCAGCCAUGCCGCGUGUGUGAAGAAGGUCUUCGGAUUGUAAAGCACUUUAAGUUGGGAGGAAGGGCAGUAAGUUAAUACCUUGCUGUUUUGACGUUACCAACAGAAUAAGCACCGGCUAACUUCGUG
Molecule: ribosomal RNA, 484 nt
Filed under: uncultured bacterium
Lineage: Bacteria
Description: partial 16S ribosomal RNA
Rfam family: Bacterial small subunit ribosomal RNA
Source: RNAcentral